Molecule: ribosomal RNA, 559 nt
Filed under: Aspergillus sp. SQU-QU03
Lineage: Eukaryota; Fungi; Ascomycota; Eurotiomycetes; Eurotiales; Aspergillaceae
Description: eukaryotic LSU rRNA
Rfam family: 5.8S ribosomal RNA (bases 192-345)
Source: RNAcentral
GGAUCAUUACCGAGUGUAGGGUUCCUAGCGAGCCCAACCUCCCACCCGUGUUUACUGUACCUUAGUUGCUUCGGCGGGCCCGCCAUUCAUGGCCGCCGGGGGCUCUCAGCCCCGGGCCCGCGCCCGCCGGAGACACCACGAACUCUGUCUGAUCUAGUGAAGUCUGAGUUGAUUGUAUCGCAAUCAGUUAAAACUUUCAACAAUGGAUCUCUUGGUUCCGGCAUCGAUGAAGAACGCAGCGAAAUGCGAUAACUAGUGUGAAUUGCAGAAUUCCGUGAAUCAUCGAGUCUUUGAACGCACAUUGCGCCCCCUGGUAUUCCGGGGGGCAUGCCUGUCCGAGCGUCAUUGCUGCCCAUCAAGCACGGCUUGUGUGUUGGGUCGUCGUCCCCUCUCCGGGGGGGACGGGCCCCAAAGGCAGCGGCGGCACCGCGUCCGAUCCUCGAGCGUAUGGGGCUUUGUCACCCGCUCUGUAGGCCCGGCCGGCGCUUGCCGAACGCAAAUCAAUCUUUUCCAGGUUGACCUCGGAUCAGGUAGGGAUACCCGCUGAACUUAAGCAUAU